RNAcentral lists this ribosomal RNA (764 nucleotides) under bacterium. Its description in RNAcentral is "bacterial SSU rRNA". It matches the Rfam family "Bacterial small subunit ribosomal RNA", at positions 80 to 859 of the family's 1533-position model. The record is from RNAcentral. RNAcentral also lists the same sequence under 1 other name.
UUGCUGGGUGGAUUAGUGGCGAACGGGUGAGUAACACGUGAGUAACCUGCCCCUGACUCUGGGAUAAGCGUUGGAAACGACGUCUAAUACUGGAUAUGACUACUGGUCGCAUGGCCUGGUGGUGGAAAGAUUUUUUGGUUGGGGAUGGACUCGCGGCCUAUCAGCUUGUUGGUGAGGUAAUGGCUCACCAAGGCGACGACGGGUAGCCGGCCUGAGAGGGUGACCGGCCACACUGGGACUGAGACACGGCCCAGACUCUACGGAGGCAGCAGUGGGAAUAUUGCACAAUGGGCGAAAGCCUGAUGCAGCAACGCCGCGUGAGGGAUGACGGCCUUCGGGUUGUAAACCUCUUUUAGUAGGGAAGAAGCGAAAGUGACGGUACCUGCAGAAAAAGCACCGGCUAACUACGUGCCAGCAGCCGCGGUAAUACGUAGGGUGCAAGCGUUGUCCGGAAUUAUUGGGCGUAAAGAGCUCGUAGGCGGUUUGUCGCGUCUGCUGUGAAAUCCCGAGGCUCAACCUCGGGCUUGCAGUGGGUACGGGCAGACUAGAGUGCGGUAGGGGAGAUUGGAAUUCCUGGUGUAGCGGUGGAAUGCGCAGAUAUCAGGAGGAACACCGAUGGCGAAGGCAGAUCUCUGGGCCGUAACUGACGCUGAGGAGCGAAAGCGUGGGGAGCGAACAGGAUUAGAUACCCUGGUAGUCCACGCCGUAAACGUUGGGCGCUAGAUGUAGGGACCUUCCACGGUUUCUGUGUCGUAGCUAACGCA